GGGAAUGUUUUCUUGCUCUGAUGUAUCAAGUUGCCAUGGGGGUGAUCUAGAGGUGAAAGCUAGCAAGCCAUCUCCUGAUAUUUUCCUUACUAGCAAGCUUAAUGCGGAACACUUAUAUUUCAGUACUUGUUUGUUUAAUUGUGUUAUUUAUCUGCAGGUCUCUUCCUUGUCCAAAGUAUGUCGUACCUAAUCAAGACAUGUUCAUUUAAUUUACCCAUCAUGUAAAUGACACAACAUGAUUCACUUGUGUAUAGUGUAAAAAUAUAUUUAUUUAUGGCACACAGGUGUUCAAAUUAUAGUUGUGAAACGUGUAUAG
This 316-nucleotide long non-coding RNA is filed under the name Triticum aestivum (bread wheat). RNAcentral describes it as "long non-coding RNA (TAES_LNC009535)". Lineage: Eukaryota; Viridiplantae; Streptophyta; Magnoliopsida; Poales; Poaceae. The record is from RNAcentral.